CAGUCUGUUAUGGAAGACAAAUAGGAAGGCAAUUUUCAAUUAAAGUCCAGCAUUUUCUUUCAGGCAAAACAUGUCAGGCCAAGCAGCACACCUGCUCCUGCUGCAGCCCAGAGGCACUGCGAUGAGGCAGCAGUGACUGACUUCACCUCAGCUAAAGCAGGAAGCAAGGUGAGAUUAGAAACCAAAACGUCACCACUUGGAAUCAGGCAUGAAUCCUCUGAGCACUGGCAAGCAAUACUGUAGAUGACCCUCAGGUACCUGAAGCAUCAGCAACAUCUGCUACAUCAGCAAACAAGUGGUUUCAGCUGCAGCUUUCCCAAACUUUGGCUUUGUGUUAGCUAGAUUGACAUCUGAUCUUUGCCUACGUCAAAAACGGUGAACCUCUAGAACCUGACCCAAUGAAAGUGACCUCACAUUAAAAAGAAAUUGAUUUUAAAUAAAGUGGACACCUAUAUCCAUCCUUCCA
This is a long non-coding RNA of Cygnus olor (mute swan), 466 nucleotides long. RefSeq lists it as uncharacterized. The transcript is spliced from 3 exons. NCBI's taxonomy places the organism in Eukaryota, Metazoa, Chordata, Aves, Anseriformes, Anatidae. The record is from RefSeq and is a predicted model, not a curated record.